GACGAACGCUGGCGGCGCGCUUAACACAUGCAAGUCGAGCGAGAACCAGGGCUUCGGCCCUGGGGACAGCGGCGAACGGGUGAGUAACACGUGGAUAACCUGCCCUCGGCACCGGGAUAGCCCGGGGAAACUCGGAUUAAUACCGGAUAGCCUUUCCGGCUUUCGAGCCGGUCCGAAAAGGUAGCUUCGGCCUCUGGCCGAGGAUGGGUCCGCGGCGGAUUAGCUUGUUGGUGGGGUAAUGGCCUACCAAGGCUCGAUCCGUAGCUGGUCUGAGAGGACGAUCAGCCACACUGGGACUGAGACACGGCCCAGACUCCUACGGGAGGCAGCAGUGGGGAAUAUUGGACAAUGGGCGAAAGCCUGAUCCAGCGAUGCCGCGUGUGUGAAGAAGGCCUGCGGGUUGUAAAGCACUUUCAGUAGGGAAGAAAAGCCGAGUGCCAAUACCACUCGGUCUUGACGUUACCUAAAGAAGAAGCACC
RNAcentral lists this ribosomal RNA (479 nucleotides) under uncultured bacterium. RNAcentral's name for it is "bacterial SSU rRNA". It matches the Rfam family "Bacterial small subunit ribosomal RNA", at positions 28 to 494 of the family's 1533-position model. The record is from RNAcentral.